ACUAUCCGCCUGGGAACUACGAGCAACAGCUUAAAACCCAAAGGACUUGGCGGUGCUUUAGACCCACCUAGAGGAGCCUGUUCUGAAACCGAUAACCCCCGUUCAACCUCACCUUUCCUUGUUCCCCCCGCCUAUAUACCGCCGUCGUCAGCUUACCCUAUGAAGGCCCCUUAGUAAGCACAAUUGGUACAACCCAAAACGUCAGGUCGAGGUGUAGCGUAUGGAAAGGGAAGAAAUGGGCUACAUUCCUUAACCCUAAGGAAUUACGAAAAAUACCACUGAAACGUGUAUCUAGAAGGAGGAUUUAGCAGUAAGCAGAAAAUAGAGCGUUCUGCUG
This 337-nucleotide ribosomal RNA is filed under the name Cephalopholis sexmaculata. RNAcentral's name for it is "partial small subunit ribosomal RNA". It matches the Rfam family "Bacterial small subunit ribosomal RNA", at positions 864 to 1364 of the family's 1533-position model. Lineage: Eukaryota; Metazoa; Chordata; Actinopteri; Perciformes; Serranidae. The record is from RNAcentral.